CUAGCAUAUCAAUAAGCGGAGGAAAAGAAACCAACAGGGAUUGCCCUAGUAACGGCGAGUGAAGCGGCAACAGCUCAAAUUUGAAAUCUGGCUCCCUUGGGAGUCCGAGUUGUAAUUUGUAGAGGGUGCUUUGGUGUUAGCUGUGGUCUAAGUCCCUUGGAACAGGGCGUCACAGAGGGUGAGAAUCCCGUACGUGGCCAGCAGUUUUCACCUUGUAAAGCCCCUUCGACGAGUCGAGUUGUUUGGGAAUGCAGCUCUAAAUGGGAGGUAAAUUUCUUCUAAAGCUAAAUACUGGCCAGAGACCGAUAGCGCACAAGUAGAGUGAUCGAAAGAUGAAAAGCACUUUGGAAAGAGAGUCAAAAAGCACGUGAAAUUGUUGAAAGGGAAGCGCUUGCAGCCAGACUUGCCCGUAGUUGCUCAUCUAGGCCUUGUGUCUAGUGCACUCUUCUGCGGGCAGGCCAGCAUCAGUUCAGGCGGUCGGAUAAAGACUCUGGGAAUGUGGCUCCUCUCGGGGAGUGUUAUAGCCCAGGGUGUCAUGCGGCCAGCUUGGACUGAGGUCCGCGCUUCUGCUAGGAUGCUGGCGUAAUGGCUGUAAGCGGCCCGUCUUGAAACACGGACCAAGGAGUCUAACAUCUAUGCGAGUGUUUGGGUGUCAAGCCCGAGCGCGUAAUGAAAGUGAACGGAGGUGGGAACCCCUUGGGGUGCACCAUCGACCGAUCCUGAUGUCUUCGGAUGGAUUUGAGUAAGAGCAUAGCUGUUGGGACCCGAAAGAUGGUGAACUAUGCCUGAAUAGGGUGAAGCCAGAGGAAACUCUGGUGGAGGCUCGCAGCGGUUCUGACGUGCAAAUCGAUCGUCAAAUUUGGGCAUAGGGGCGAAAGACUAAUCGAACUAUCUAGUAGCU
This 901-nucleotide ribosomal RNA is filed under the name Murispora kazachstanica. RNAcentral's name for it is "Murispora sp. DGK-2021a partial large subunit ribosomal RNA". It matches the Rfam family "Eukaryotic large subunit ribosomal RNA", at positions 34 to 952 of the family's 3401-position model. The record is from RNAcentral. Lineage: Eukaryota; Fungi; Ascomycota; Dothideomycetes; Pleosporales; Amniculicolaceae.